Molecule: long non-coding RNA, 576 nt
Organism: Alligator sinensis (Chinese alligator)
Lineage: Eukaryota; Metazoa; Chordata; Crocodylia; Alligatoridae
Exons: 3
Source: RefSeq, a predicted model, not a curated record
AUUGGCGAUUCUAAUUAAAUUUAUGACGUGGCGAAAAGCAAUUGGCUAGUACACAAACAAAACCCCGCUGCAUUUCCGUGAAGUCAGAGAGAGCGACUCCGUAUACACCUGGAGACCUCUAACAUAGGUGUUAGAGUAAACUGACAAUUUGAUCACUUGCCAGUUCGCCCCCCCCGCCCCGUCUUCGACCUUAUCUCAGACGUAAUCGACGACUGCUGGCCCGACCUUCUGCCCGACCACUUUUGCGAACUGACCUACUUUGCAGACCGACCUCAUGAACUCUAAGCUGUAACUAACCAAGUAUCUCUGACCUCCGUCUUUCACCACCUUGACGGCCGUGCAGUGAUGACACUGUCAAGGAAAACAGAAGAAGAGAAACUAGCUAACUAUCAAGAGACUAGAUAGCAAGCCAGAGCCUUUCAGAUGCUGCUGGUCCAAGAGAGACAUUUCACAAAAGGUCAGUCCAUAUAUGCAGGUCAUCCUGGUUUCACAAGCAGAACUUAUCAAAAGUCUUGAGAUCAUCAUCAGACUUUGUCAUUUGCACAGAGAACUACUACAGCUAAAGCCAUCCUCAGG